This 468-nucleotide ribosomal RNA is filed under the name uncultured bacterium. Its description in RNAcentral is "partial 16S ribosomal RNA". It matches the Rfam family "Bacterial small subunit ribosomal RNA", at positions 28 to 507 of the family's 1533-position model. The record is from RNAcentral.
GACGAACGCUGGCGGCGUGCUUAACACAUGCAAGUCGAACGGAAAGGCCCUGCUUGCAGGGUGCUCGAGUGGCGAACGGGUGAGUAACACGUGGGUGAUCUGCCCCUUACUUUGGGAUAAGCCUGGGAAACUGGGUCUAAUACUGGAUAGGACCAUGCUGUAGGUGGUGUGGUGGAAAGAUUAGUUUCGGUUAGGGAUGAGCUCGCGGCCUAUCAGCUUGUUGGUGGGGUAAUGGCCGACCAAGGCGUCGACGGGUAGCCGGCCUGAGAGGGUGGACGGCCACGUUGGGACUGAGAUACGGCCCAGACUCCUACGGGAGGCAGAAGUGGGGAAUAUUGCACAAUGGGCGCAAGCCUGAUGCAGCGACGCCGCGUGGGGGAUGACGGCCUUCGGGUUGUAAACUCCUUUCAGCCAUGACGAAGCCUUCGGGUGACGGUAGUGGUAGAAGAAGCACCGGCUAACUACGUG